AUGCUGUCGUGGAAGUUCAGCCGGAAGGGCGCCACGGGCUUCUCCUGGGCCUCCACCGCCGACGAGGUCACCGCCGGCGUCACCGCCUCUGGCCUCACCGCAAUAGUCACCGGUGCGUCGAGCGGGAUCGGCGCGGAGACGGCGCGCGUGCUGGCCGCGCGCGGCGCCCACGUCGUCAUGGCCGUCCGCAACCUCGCCGCCGGCGACACCGUGCGCCAGGCCGUCCUCGCCGAGACCCCCGCCGCCAGCGUCGACCUCAUGGAGCUCGACGUCUCCUCCCUCGCCUCCGUCCGCAACUUCGCCGCCGACUUCGCCGCCAGGGGCCUCCCGCUCAACAUCCUCGUCAACAACGCGGGAAUAAUGGCGACCCCUUUCACCCUCUCAAAGGAUGGCAUCGAGAUGCAGUUUGCGACUAACCACGUCGGGCAUUUUCUUUUGACACAUCUUGUGCUGGACACCAUGAAGAAGACCUCUCGCGAAUCAAACGUGGAAGGAAGAAUCGUCAUUGUUGCCUCGGAGGGGCACAGGGUUACGUACAAGGAAGGCAUCCGUUUCGCCAAGAUAAAUGAUGAGCAAGGGUAUGGCACCCUUGCAGCAUAUGGGCAGUCCAAGCUUGCCAACAUUUUACACGCCGGUGAACUUGCCAGGAGAUUUAAGGAAGAGGGUGUUAACAUCACUGCCAACUCCCUGCAUCCUGGAUCCAUCCUCACAAACCUUCUUCGCAACCGCGGCAUCAUAUAUGCCUUUGCCUCUGUGUUUGCAGCCAUCGAGCGGACGCUUGGUAAACUGCUGCUCAAGAACAUCCAGCAGGGGGCUGCGACGCAGUGCUACUUGGCGCUGCACCCGGACGCCAAGGGGGUGUCGGGCAAGUACUGGUGCGACAGCAACCUGUACGAGCCGAGCGACAAGGCCAAGGACGCGGAGCUGGGGAAGAAGCUAUGGGACUACACCCUCGACCUCGUCGCCUGA
Molecule: ribosomal RNA, 969 nt
Filed under: Triticum aestivum (bread wheat)
Lineage: Eukaryota; Viridiplantae; Streptophyta; Magnoliopsida; Poales; Poaceae
Description: partial small subunit ribosomal RNA
Source: RNAcentral